CAACCCGCAACAAAUCUAUGUCAAGAAAGGGGAAAGACACAAAGGUACCCUCGCCACAGCUGUUUACGAACAUAAACAACAACACAAAAAGGGAUUCGAAGAAACAGAGACUUUAGCAGUGACAGAAAGACUGGCUCUAAACAGUAACACCUAUCCAACUCAGAUAGGUCUUCAAAGAGCCAGAUAACGAAAAAUUGUUCGCAUAUCUAAGGAACGAGAAGUGCCUAAUCAAGAACAGCCGCAUCAGUAAUAUCGGACUAACGGCUAUCCUGCUUACGAUCGGUGCGUCGCCGUUGUCCGUUGUGUUACGACCAGAACAAUGCCCACCUACGAAAACAACCGGAUAUGGGCGAAAACAGGUCAAAGCAAAAAGGAGUUACAACGGGGACACUAAACAUCACAUUUAGAUUAUAUGCUAUGCGAAAAAGUUUCGGUCUUCCGUCUUAGGUGAUCGUCACUUUUGGUAAGACAACGUGUUCCGUGCGGUUCUGUUGAAGCCAUCGAGUCGUGAGGCAUUGUUUUACAAGCUCCUAGAGACGCCCAAGCAACGAUUUCUUGAAAGAAAAUUAAAUGAGCGACCAAAGGAAUAAAGAAAAUGUAUGCAGAAACAAAGAACGACGCAGCACCAUGAUCACUAUUAACAAAAAGGAUUAAUAACAAUAGUUAAAAAUGGCCAAAACAUGGUGCGAAAAAAUUCGGCAGAAGAAGGUUAAAUAUAGGAGACGCACGUUGACAAGCAGAACAACAAGCCAGUGGGGAACCACUGUACCUCGCUGUCUGCGCGAGAAGACAAGGGAAGCGGAUGCUGCUCGCUUUAUAGCUGCCUUCCCUCGCGCCCCCUUGUUGUCGUUGUCCUUCGCCCUUUAGCCCCACUUUUGGCCUUUUGCAAACCCCAAGAUAGGCCUGCAAGUGGCUAUACCCUCUCCUAUUCCCGUUCCCCUAGUGGAAGGGAGAAUGGCUGCAAGCUGAAACCUACGCUCGAAGAGAAAUUCGUAAUGUUCAGGU
This is a long non-coding RNA of Varroa destructor (honeybee mite), 1005 nucleotides long. RefSeq lists it as uncharacterized. The record is from RefSeq and is a predicted model, not a curated record. NCBI's taxonomy places the organism in Eukaryota, Metazoa, Arthropoda, Arachnida, Mesostigmata, Varroidae.